GACGAACGCUGGCGGCGUGCUUAACACAUGCAAGUCGAACGGAAACGCCCUGCUUUUGUGGGGUGCUCGAGUGGCGAACGGGUGAGUAGCACGUGAGUAACCUGCCCUUCACUUUGGGAUUACUUCAGGAAACUGGGGCUAAUACCGGAUAGGAGCUUCUGCUGCAUGGUGGGGGUUGGAAAGUUUCGGCGGUUGGGGAUGGACUCGCGGCUUAUCAGCUUGUUGGUGGGGUAGUGGCUUACCAAGGCUUUGACGGGUAGCCGGCCUGAGAGGGGUACCGGCCAAAGUGGGACUGAGAUACGGCCCGGACUCCUACGGGAGGCAGAAGAGGGGAAGAGUGCACAAUGGGCGGAAGCCUAAUGCAGCAACGCCGCGUGCGGGAUGACAGCCUGCCGUUAGUAAUGCACAUUCGCCUUUGACGAAGCGUUAGUGACGGUAAUGGGUAAAUAAGCACCGGCUAACUACGUG
RNAcentral lists this ribosomal RNA (468 nucleotides) under uncultured bacterium. RNAcentral describes it as "partial 16S ribosomal RNA". It matches the Rfam family "Bacterial small subunit ribosomal RNA", at positions 28 to 507 of the family's 1533-position model. The record is from RNAcentral.